RNAcentral lists this ribosomal RNA (253 nucleotides) under uncultured bacterium. RNAcentral describes it as "partial 16S ribosomal RNA". It matches the Rfam family "Bacterial small subunit ribosomal RNA", at positions 524 to 776 of the family's 1533-position model. The record is from RNAcentral.
UACGGAAGGGGCGAGCGUUGUUCGGAAUCAUUGGGCGUAAAGGGCGCGUAGGUGGUUCUGUAUGUCUACUGUGAAAGCGUACAGCUCAACUGUAUUUUGUCGGUAGAAACUGCAGGACUUGAGGCUGGGAGGGGCUGGUGGAAUUCCCUGUGUAGCGGUGAAAUGCGUAGAGAUGGGGGAGAACACUCGUGGCGAAGGCGGCCAGCUAGACCAGUUCUGACACUGAGGCGCGACAGCGUGGGGAGCAAACAGG